RNAcentral lists this ribosomal RNA (639 nucleotides) under Calonarius corrosus. Its description in RNAcentral is "eukaryotic LSU rRNA". It matches the Rfam family "Eukaryotic large subunit ribosomal RNA", at positions 1 to 632 of the family's 3401-position model. The record is from RNAcentral. Lineage: Eukaryota; Fungi; Basidiomycota; Agaricomycetes; Agaricales; Cortinariaceae.
UGACCUCAAAUCAGGUAGGACUACCCGCUGAACUUAAGCAUAUCAAUAAGCGGAGGAAAAGAAACUAACAAGGAUUCCCCUAGUAACUGCGAGUGAAGCGGGAAAAGCUCAAAUUUAAAAUCUGGCAGUCUUUGGCUGUCCGAGUUGUAAUCUAGAGAAGCAUUAUCCGCGCUGGACCGUGUACAAGUCUCCUGGAAUGGAGCGUCAUAGAGGGUGAGAAUCCCGUCUUUGACACGGACUGCCAGGGCUUUGUGAUGUGCUCUCAAAGAGUCGAGUUGUUUGGGAAUGCAGCUCAAAAUGGGUGGUAAAUUCCAUCUAAAGCUAAAUAUUGGCGAGAGACCGAUAGCGAACAAGUACCGUGAGGGAAAGAUGAAAAGAACUUUGGAAAGAGAGUUAAACAGUACGUGAAAUUGCUGAAAGGGAAACGCUUGAAGUCAGUCGCGUUGUCCAGGGAUCAAUCUUGCUUUUGCUUGGUGUACUUUCUGGUUAACGGGUCAGCAUCAAUUUUGACUAUUGGAAAAAGAUCAAGGGAAUGUGGCAUCUUCGGAUGUGUUAUAGCCCUUGGUUGCAUACAAUAGUUAGGAUUGAGGAACUCAGCACGCCGCAAGGCCGAGUUUUUAACUACGUACGUGCUUAGGA